Molecule: ribosomal RNA, 437 nt
Filed under: uncultured bacterium
Lineage: Bacteria
Description: bacterial SSU rRNA
Rfam family: Bacterial small subunit ribosomal RNA
Source: RNAcentral
AGAGUUUGAUCAUGGCUCAGAGUGAACGCUGGCGGCAGGCCUAACACAUGCAAGUCGAACGGCAGCACAGCAGUAGCAAUACUGUGGGUGGCGAGCGGCGGACGGGUGAGGAAUACAUCGGGAUCUACCUUUUCGUGGGGGAUAACGUAGGGAAACUUACGCUAAUACCGCAUACGCCCUACGGGGGAAAGCGGCGGACCGCAAGGCGUCGCGCGAUGAGAUGAACCGAUGUCCGAUUAGCUAGUUGGCGGGGUAAAGGCCCACCAAGGCGACGAUCGGUAGCUGAUCUGAGAGGAUGAUCAGCCACACUGGAACUGAGACACGGUCCAGACUCCUACGGGAGGCAGCAGUGGGGAAUAUUGGACAAUGGGCGCAAGCCUGAUCCAGCCAUGCCGCGUGUGUGAAGAAGGCCUUCGGGUUGUAAAGCACUUUUGUCC